Molecule: unclassified non-coding RNA, 321 nt
Filed under: soil metagenome
Description: partial contains 5.8S ribosomal RNA, internal transcribed spacer 2, and large subunit ribosomal RNA
Rfam family: 5.8S ribosomal RNA (bases 1-120)
Source: RNAcentral
GAUGAAGAACGUAGCGAAAUGCGAUAAGUAAUGUGAAUUGCAGAAUUCAGUGAAUCAUCGAAUCUUUGAACGCACAUUGCGCCCUUUGGCAUUCCGAAGGGCACACCUGUCCGAGCGCCGUCGCACAACUGAGGCGCAGCCUUGCGUUGGCGGGCGACUUGUGAGUAGCGAGUCGCCGCCCAAACGAGACGGCGCCGCGCCGCGGCCGACGAAGCACGAAAGCGGAAGUCGACGCGGAGGCGGUUGCCUGUAGGAAGACACAGCUUGGCCUCGGAUCAGGUGGGGAUACCCGCUGAACUUAAGCAUAUCAAUAGCGGAGGA